CCGCGCGUCGCCCACCUAGCCUGGAGAUUACCGACCACCGGUGCGGACACUAUUCUUCGAAAUCAGUUUGCCUUUGCAAAUUCACUGGCGCCAGUAUCAGUUUGCAUCUGUUUUGCAUGUUAGAUAGGUCGUGCAUGUACAGAAAGCUCGCAGCCAGUACGCGAAGAUGACGACGGUUUGGAUUACUGGAGUGGCGCUGUGGCUGUCCCUGGUGCUCUGUUCCGGAACCACCAAAGCCCAGACCACGAUCGGUGCCACGAUCGUGCUGGAUCCACAAGAUAUAACGGUGGUAGUUGGUGAGAGGAACGAAUUUGUGGCCAAAGUGCGUGGAGCCUUGGUGCAACCGGCGACGCUUAACUUUUCCACCGAACAUGCCGACCUAGUGGAAGUUUCACCGCCAAGCUUCGCCAUCGACGCCCCGGUCGGUGGGUACAUCGAUAAGGACUACGAGAUCUCACUGUACGGCAUAUCACCCGGACAGUUCGAUUUGGUUGCGGAGGUACUGCCGAAGGGUUUGAUUGACGAUGCGAUCGCCUUUAUACGGGUGACGGUAGCCAACUCAAAGGCCAUCAUCGUGAUCUCGGACGUGAUCGGAUGGAUCUACUUUGCCGCCUGGACCGUCUCCUUCUGGCCGCAGAUGAUCAUCAACUAUCGACGCAAAAGUGUCAUCGGUUUAUCGUUCGACUUUCUUGCCCUGAACGUGGUCGGUCACUCGGUGUACGCGGCAUUCAAUUUGGCCCUGUUCUGGAGUGCGUACAUCGAGAACGAAUACUUCGAUCGGAACCCUCGCGGGUUGAACCCGGUGCUACCGAAUGAUGUGGCCUUCUCAAUACACGCUACGAUCGCCACGAUGCUGACACUCGGGCAAUGCUUCAUCUAUGAGCGCGGAGAUCAAAAAAUUUCCCUUUAUGCAUGGGGAAUCCUAGGAAUUUUCGUGAUCGUGGUUAUCGUUGCGGGCAUACUUGUUGGCACGGACACAUUCCACUGGUUGGAUUUCCUAUACGUUCUCAGCUACAUCAAGCUCUCGGUCACGCUCAUCAAAUACAUACCGCAGGCGGUUUUAAACUUCCAACGCAAGAGUACCGUUGGGUGGAGCAUCGAAAAUGUGCUCCUAGAUUUUACGGGAGGCACACUGAGCAUGCUCCAGAUGCUCCUGAAUGGAUACAACUACGAUGACUGGGGGUCCAUCUUUGGAGACCCAACCAAGUUUGGGCUCGGUCUAUUUUCGGUGCUGUUCGAUAUUCUCUUCAUUGUACAACAUUACGUCCUGUACAGAAUACCGAAAAAACGGAUCGAUCCGAUCGAAUCUAACCUAGAAACAUUGCUCAAAGAACCGCAUGCCAUUGCCACCAGCACUGACACCGAAUAACAACAGUAACAAAACCAAAACCACCAACAACCGUAACCCUAGCCCAUAAGCAAUACCAAGCAACACUUCCUCACAACACUUACUCAGCAUGAACACACUGAAAUCGCGCUGACGGCAAAACCCUGCAAGAGGACUCUUCCGCUACCAACACCACCAACGGCGGCAGCAACGAUAGUCUUCCGUAGAGCUUUUGCACCGAAGAAAUACCGUCUCAAGCCCCUCCGAAACGCGAUCUGUGCGUAGUUUCUUAAGCCGCUAGAUUUAAUGCUUAGUUUUAAAUAGGCCAUCAUCGCCGCUAAUGUCAGGCCAAAGGUCCAGGCACGUGGCGGUGGAAGCGACUGAAUGUAGAAAAGUAUAAACGGAAAAUGAAAAUUCAUGUUCGAGUUCUAGUUCGAAGAUCAAAAGCGCGUUGGCCAGACGCGCUGAUUUGUGUUGACUUACUGUUGCCAUGUUAGUAGCUGAUAGAAAAGAGAGAGUAGUUCGUUACGAACAAUAAUUUUUCUCUCUACACAACGAAAAUACAACUUUAUAUUUGC
Molecule: RNA transcript, 1905 nt
Organism: Anopheles bellator
Lineage: Eukaryota; Metazoa; Arthropoda; Insecta; Diptera; Culicidae
Gene name: cystinosin homolog
Exons: 6
Source: RefSeq, a predicted model, not a curated record